This 253-nucleotide ribosomal RNA is filed under the name uncultured Blastopirellula sp. RNAcentral's name for it is "partial 16S ribosomal RNA". It matches the Rfam family "Bacterial small subunit ribosomal RNA", at positions 524 to 776 of the family's 1533-position model. The record is from RNAcentral. Lineage: Bacteria; Pseudomonadati; Planctomycetota; Planctomycetia; Pirellulales; Pirellulaceae.
CACGAACUGCGCAAACGUUAUUCGGAAUCACUGGGCUUAAAGAGUCCGUAGGCGGCCCGGAGGGUGGGGUGUGAAAUCCCACGGCUCAACCGUGGAAUUGCGCUCCAAACCGCCGGGCUCGAGGGAGAUAGAGGAGAGCGGAACUGAUGGUGGAGCGGUGAAAUGCGUUGAUAUCAUCAGGAACACCGGUGGCGAAAGCGGCUCUCUGGGUCUCUUCUGACGCUGAGGGACGAAAGCUAGGGGAGCGAACGGG